This 493-nucleotide ribosomal RNA is filed under the name uncultured bacterium. RNAcentral's name for it is "partial 16S ribosomal RNA". It matches the Rfam family "Bacterial small subunit ribosomal RNA", at positions 28 to 507 of the family's 1533-position model. The record is from RNAcentral.
GAUGAACGCUGGCGGCGUGCCUAAUACAUGCAAGUCGAGCGAACAACCGGGGAUCGUCCUGCGGUGAAGUAGCGAACGGGCGGGUAAGUCGUAGGUAACUAACCUCGCUAUCCGGCACAAAUAGCGGCAAGAAACGCUAACACCGGCCGUACAAUCUGGUCUACCGCUCAGUGCGUAAAGGAAGGUUCGGCCUGCGUACACGGAGGGGUCCGCGCCCCAUUAGUUAGUUGGUGAGGUAACGGCCCACCAAGCACGCGAUGGGUAGCUGGCCUGAGAGGAAGAUCGGCCACACUGGGACUGAGACACGGCCCAGACUCCUACGGGAGGCAGCAGUGGGGAAUCUUGCGCAAUGCGCGAAAGCGUGACGCAGCAACGCCGCGUGAGUGAAGAAGGUCUUCGGGUUGUAAAACCCUGUUAGUAGGGACGAAGAUACGGGGAAGAAAAUGCGUCCAGACUGACGGUACCUCAACAGAAAGCCCCGGCUAACUACGUG